AAUCAACGCUGGCGGCGUGCCUAACACAUGCAAGUCGAGCGCGAAAGCGGGGCAACCCGCAAGUAGAGCGGCGAACGGGUGAGUAACGCGUGGGUGAUCUACCUCCGAGUGGGGAACAACAUCGGGAAACUGGUGCUAAUACCGCAUGACAUCCUCAGGUCACACUGAGGAUCAAAGCCGGGGACCGUAAGGCCUGGCGCUUGGAGAGGAGCCCGCGUCCGAUUAGCAGUUGGCGGGGUAACGGCCCACCAAGGCGACGAUCGGUAGCCGGCCUGAGAGGGCGGACGGCCACACUGGGACUGCGACACGGCCCAGACUCCUACGGGAGGCAGCAGUGGGGAGUAUUGGACAAUGGGGGCAACCCUGAUCCAGCAAUGCCGCGUGAGUGAUGAAGGCCUUAGGGUUGUAAAGCUCUUC
This 417-nucleotide ribosomal RNA is filed under the name uncultured bacterium. RNAcentral describes it as "bacterial SSU rRNA". It matches the Rfam family "Bacterial small subunit ribosomal RNA", at positions 29 to 436 of the family's 1533-position model. The record is from RNAcentral.